Molecule: ribosomal RNA, 301 nt
Filed under: uncultured bacterium
Lineage: Bacteria
Description: partial 16S ribosomal RNA
Rfam family: Bacterial small subunit ribosomal RNA
Source: RNAcentral
CAGUAGCCACGGGAAUACAGAGGGUGCGAGCGUUAAUCGGAUUUACUGGGCGUAAAGCGUGCGUAGGCGGCUAAUUGAGUCGGAUGUGAAAUCCCCGAGCUUAACUUGGGAAUUGCAUUCGAUACUGGUUAGCUAGAGUGUGGGAGAGGAUGGUAGAAUUCCAGGUGUAGCGGUGAAAUGCGUAGAGAUCUGGAGGAAUACCGAUGGCGAAGGCAGCCAUCUGGCCUAACACUGACGCUGAGGUACGAAAGCAUGGGGAGCAAACAGGAUUAGAUACCCGCGUAGUCCCUGUCUCUUAUAA